Molecule: long non-coding RNA, 305 nt
Organism: Fopius arisanus
Lineage: Eukaryota; Metazoa; Arthropoda; Insecta; Hymenoptera; Braconidae
Exons: 2
Source: RefSeq, a predicted model, not a curated record
UCACAAACAAUUCUUGAAUUUUUCACUGUUUUGCAAAUAAAAAAAUUGUCAGAAUGAUUGCUGCAAAAAUUGUGAUAAUGGCGCUGGUCAUGGUCCUCGGCUCUCGCGAGAUCGAGUUCCUCAGGACAGUAUAAUAAUAAUCUGGUGGAUACCAGGGAAUGCCCUCACACUAUCGGAAUCUCCAAAUUUAUUUUCCAAUUAUGCAUAUAACAAAGAUUUUCCUGAUGCACCAUUUCGAUAGUAUGUUAUUUCCAAAAAGCAUGUACUUCACUUAUUUAUUUCAAAUAAAUAUUCAGCACUAGAAA